RNAcentral lists this ribosomal RNA (492 nucleotides) under uncultured bacterium. RNAcentral describes it as "partial 16S ribosomal RNA". It matches the Rfam family "Bacterial small subunit ribosomal RNA", at positions 29 to 507 of the family's 1533-position model. The record is from RNAcentral.
AGUGAACGCUGGCGGUAGGCCUAACACAUGCCAGUCGAACGGCAGCACAGUAAGAGCUUGCUCUUACGGGUGGCGAGUGGCGGACGGGUGAGGAAUACAUCGGAAUCUACUUUUUCGUGGGGGAUAACGUAGGGAAACUUACGCUAAUACCGCAUACGACCUACGGGUGAAAGCAGGGGAUCUUCGGACCUUGCGCGAUUGAAUGAGCCGAUGUCGGAUUAGCUAGUUGGCGGGGUAAAGGCCCACCAAGGCGACGAUCCGUAGCUGGUCUGAGAGGAUGAUCAGCCACACUGGAACUGAGACACGGUCCAGACUCCUACGGGAGGCAGCAGUGGGGAAUAUUGGACAAUGGGCGCAAGCCUGAUCCAGCCAUACCGCGUGGGUGAAGAAGGCCUUCGGGUUGUAAAGCCCUUUUGUUGGGAAAGAAAAGCAGCAGGUUAAUACCCCGCUGUUCUGACGGUACCCAUAGAAUAAGCACCGGCUAACUUCGUG